AAGAGGUGUGGCUGUGUCAGUUCACCUGUCCUAAUGGCUGCUUUACCUAUAAAUACACCCACUUGUGCAGCAGUCUUCCUUUUGACCUACAGGUAUGAGCACAUGGCUUGCUGUCGCCAUCUUGGUUUGCGGAAGAAAAAAAGCUCCAAGAUAUGUGGAAUCUCCUCAGUGGCCCUGCAGCUUCAGCAAAUGACCCAUAUUUUGUAGCUGGUGAGAUGACGUCAAGGCUGAAGUAUGGCAACACUGCUGUUUGAGAGUCAUCUGAAAGCUAAAGUACCAUAUCUUGGUAUAAGGAUAUCUUCAAGAACAUUCCUCAAGACAUUUAUUGGAAAUGCAAGAUUACUGAUAUACUGGGAAGAAAUUGAUAUGCUGGUGGCACAUGAGAGCAAUAGGUCUUGUACAACAAAGCUUUGAAAGGACUUUGAUGUGAAGCAAAUUAUAGUGUCUACAGCGAGCCUUUAGUAAACAUGGCUAUAACAAGAACAUAAGGUCAUUAUUUAACCAACCAAACUCCUGAGGAUGUUCAACUGUCCACUCACACCUGGUCAGCAUGGUACCCGAAGGCUGAUGAAUUGGAUGGACAUUCUGUGAUAUCUGCUCAAAGGAUCUGAAAGUUGAGCCUGGGAGAGGAACAAACUUUUUAUCACCUUGGGUUCAAUUGUCUUCAAUGGCUGUGACAACCCUCCCAGCUGGGGUAUGGGUCCCAAGUCUUAAUCUUGGGUCAGGGUCCUUUUUAUCCAGAGAAUGUGUUAGACCUGUAAGAUCCCUUUCUUUCCCUGUUAUCCCAUCUUCCCUCUCCUUUAUAACUGUAAUGUAUUUAUAGCCCUAUUGUAAGCAAGUCCAACCCUUUUUUUUAAGAAUUGGUCAUCCUUUUAUUGGAAGCCAGAGACCCCAUACAAAGCACAUUUUACAAUAAUAGUUUACAAAUGGUCCCGUGUACAUUUUCAGUCUGUACUUGAUUACUGGAAACCUAGUUUCUGCUAAGAAUUUGGUACUAAUUGAAGCAGUUCCUCAAACUCUGUGGCCUGGGUAGGAAAGGUUGCUGCAAGUUUACUUCCCAAUUGCUUGUCUUGCACCUUGCCAUACGAUACAUGCCUGCAAUAUCCAGGUACAAAUAGUCUUGCUAAAACUAGUUAUGGGUAAGUUGCGCUAUUAAACACACACAAAAUGUACAGUAUAUAUUGCAGCAUACCAAUUCUUAAAUGUGAAUGGCUAUAUCAGUUUUCUUCUUUAAGCCUUUUCUUUAUCGUACAUCAUGGGACACAGAGCCUUAAGUAUUUCCUUAAUGGGUAAUGGGCCACCUUCAGAUGUUGACACGGGUAAAUCCUAACUAAAGAAGUUUACUCCCUAUAUAAUCCCUCCUCCCAGGAGCACAUCCGUUGUUCGCCAGUGUCUAAAGGUGUUGGUCACGAGUGAAGUGCACUGAAGAGCUCUAGGAGGGAUCCAUGCUGGAUUUAAAUUCCUCCAAAAAGAAGCCAGAUUCAACCACAUUGCCACUGGGGCCUAAAUGGUUGUACCUGCACUUACCAUACUCUGUCAUCUUCACUAGAGCUCAGUCCGUGCAUGGCUUGUGCAGCAGGUGGAGAGGAGAUUCUUACAAGGUAAAAAUAUCCUUUAAAGUCUUUUUUUUUUUUCUCUCCCUCUGGUGGGACCAGGGGGACAGCAGAGGCCCCCCCACCGUGGGGGACACAGAGGUCCCGCUAUGUACUGCUCACUGCAGUCUGUUCCCCUCGUGUUCUGGUCCGGAAAACUUGAAGAAAAAAAUGUGUGGAGUUUUCCAGAGGGGGUGGGGCCUAAACGCAGUGCCACAAACGCCCACAAGACACACGCAGGCUGGAAACAAAAUGAAAGCUGUGUCAGUCUCUCCGCUGCUGAGGAAAUGGCUGCCUGCACACAGGGACACACAAGCUGUGUUUUUGUACUUACAACUAUGCCUGCCAAAAAAGACACCUCAAAAAACAAAGCUAAAAUUUCACCCCCAGGCAUUGGGAUCUCAAGCUAUAUUAUCAUGCUGUCAUCAUCGCCUGAAUCGCCAAGUAUGGCAACUCAGGGUAAGCUAUUGGAACAAAUUGAUGGUGCAGCUGCACCUUGCAUCUUAGCACCUGUAUACGUGACUGAUACCCUUUCCUCCUCCCUCUAGGGUUUAGAAGAAAGAUUAGCGGCUUUAAUCGCUUCCUCCAUUCAGAUGGAUAAGAAAAGUACUAGGUCCCCUUCCCCCACUCCAGCUUUGCUAGGGGAACAGUGGACUCACGAUGAGGUGUUGCCCUCAAUCGAUCAGGAAGAAAAACAGAUGAUUCCUCAAUAGAGAACGGUAGAUGAACCUUUUUCAGCUUCCCAAACAGAGAAAUUGCUGAUACAAUCUCUUACAGAAAUGGUUCGUUCCACCUUCAUGCUGCCUUUAACAGACUCAUGAAAGCCCAGCCUCUUCCUUAGGUUCUUUAAAACCUUCCCAUGCUUUGCAUGCGUUUCCAUCGCAUCCAUUGCUAGAACAGCUUAUAUUUCUGGAAUGGGAUCAUCUGGAUAACCACUUUCUCCCUCCUAAGUUUUUGCAACUUGCUAUCAUCUGGAGGAAAAAUUCUCCAAAAGAUGGAAAGUACCAGCAAUUUACGCUGCGAUUUCCAAUGUGAAUAAUAACUUAACUUGUCCUGUAGACAAUGCACAGAUGCUUAAGGAUCCAACAGAUAAGAAGUUGGAAUCCCUGCUAAAAUCUGCAUUUUCCAUAGCAGGUGCCGUCACUCAGCCUGCAGUUGCUGCGAUAGGCGUCUGCCAAUCCCUAAAGGACCAAUUUAAAUUGGCCCUUUAGAGAACUCCCUACACAACAAGCUUGGGAUUUGGCUGAACUACCAAAGACAUUGUUUUUCCAUAGAUGCCUUUAGAGAUUCUAUUCACCAGGCAUCCCGCCUUACACUUGUACAAAUGUGCAGGAUCCUGUGACUAAAAAAUUGGUCAGCUGAAACACCAUGUAAGAACCUCCUAACUGGGUUCCCCUUUCAUGGUGAGCGACUUUUCCAAGAAGACUUGGAUAAAUAUAUCAAGACAAUUUCUAGUGGCAAAAGCACUUUUACCCAUCAAAAGAAAAUGCGAACACCCUGCAUUUAAACAGGCUUUCCUCAGCGCCAAGGCUUUCGCCUCUAAGCAGUGGCCACGGUCUCCGUCAUUCAGACUCUAGAGGAAGACCUCAGAGUCAGACCCAGGCUCAAAAGCCCUGGAGUAGGAAAUCUGCAAAACAGAAUCCUAAAGCCUCGUCAUGAAGAAGCAACCCCCCCUCACCAAGGUGGGGGGAAGACUUCUGCACUUUUCAGAAGUCUGGAAAAAAUAAAUUCAGGACACAUGGGUCAUCUCCACUGGAACAAUGGGAUACAAGCUGGAAUUUGGAACUUUCCACUGUCUCGUUUCCUAAGAUCAAGAGUGCCCAAAGAUCCAGAGAAAAGACAAUCUGUUUCAGGCACUAAACCGAUAAAUAUCUCAAGGGGUGAUCAUACAGAUCACCACAAAGGAGCAAGGUCUGGGGUUUUAUUCAAAUCUUUUCAUGGUACCAAAA
This is a long non-coding RNA of Rana temporaria (common frog), 3541 nucleotides long. RefSeq lists it as uncharacterized. Lineage: Eukaryota; Metazoa; Chordata; Amphibia; Anura; Ranidae. The transcript has 4 exons. The record is from RefSeq and is a predicted model, not a curated record.